RNAcentral lists this small nucleolar RNA (222 nucleotides) under Procavia capensis (Cape rock hyrax). RNAcentral's name for it is "Small nucleolar RNA U3 (ENSPCAG00000020617.1)". It matches the Rfam family "Small nucleolar RNA U3". From Rfam's summary of the family: Small nucleolar RNAs (snoRNAs) are involved in the processing and modification of rRNA in the nucleolus. There are two main classes of snoRNAs: the box C/D class, and the box H/ACA class. U3 snoRNA is a member of the box C/D class. Lineage: Eukaryota; Metazoa; Chordata; Mammalia; Hyracoidea; Procaviidae. The record is from RNAcentral.
AAGCCUGUACUUUCAGAGGGUGAUUUCUAAAGCUCGUUGCUAGGAAAGGUUCUGUGAACGAGUGCAGCACUGGACACCACAUGGAGAAGGCACGGCAUCCUAGUCUGAGUCCGAAGUUGGCUCCUGGCAUUGCUUUUUUGGCAGCUGCUGCUUGGCUGAUGGUAAUAAUUUACUUCUUCUCUUAUGUGGGAGAAGAAGAGGAAGGCGAUGCUCUCUGAGUAG